AACGAACGCUGGCGGCAGGCCUAACACAUGCAAGUCGAGCGAGACCUUCGGGUCUAGCGGCGGACGGGUGAGUAACGCGUGGGAACGUGCCCUUUUCUACGGAAUAGCCUCGGGAAACUGAGCGUAAUACCGUAUACGCCCUUUGGGGGAAAGAUUUAUCGGAGAAGGAUCGGCCCGCGUUGGAUUAGGUAGUUGGUGGGGUAAUGGCCUACCAAGCCUACGAUCCAUAGCUGGUUUGAGAGGAUGAUCAGCCACACUGGGACUGAGACACGGCCCAGACUCCUACGGGAGGCAGCAGUGGGAAAUCUUAGACAAUGGGGGCAACCCUGAUCUAGCCAUGCCGCGUGAGUGAUGAAGGCCUUAGGGUUGUAAAGCUCUUUCAGCUGGGAAGAUAAUGACGGUACCAGCAGAAGAAGCCCCGGCUAACUCCGUG
RNAcentral lists this ribosomal RNA (433 nucleotides) under uncultured bacterium. RNAcentral describes it as "partial 16S ribosomal RNA". It matches the Rfam family "Bacterial small subunit ribosomal RNA", at positions 29 to 507 of the family's 1533-position model. The record is from RNAcentral.